CCUACGGGUGGCAGCAGUGGGGAAUAUUGGGCAAUGGGCGCAAGCCUGACCCAGCAACGCCGCGUGAAGGAAGAAGGCUUUCGGGUUGUAAACUUCUUUUGUCAGGGAAGAGUAGAAGACGGUACCUGACGAAUAAGCCACGGCUAACUACGUGCCAGCAGCCGCGGUAAUACGGAGGAUGCGAGCGUUAUCCGGAUUUAUUGGGUUUAAAGGGUGCGCAGGCAGAGGUGCAAGUCAGCGGUCAAAUUGCGGGGCUCAACCCCGUACUGCCGUUGAAACUGCAUCCCUUGAGUGCGCGAGAAGUAUGCGGAAUGCGUGGUGUAGCGGUGAAAUGCAUAGAUAUCACGCAGAACUCCGAUUGCGAAGGCAGCAUACCGGCGCGCAACUGACGCUCAUGCACGAAAGCGUGGGUAUCGAACAGGAUUAGAUACCCCGGUAGUC
RNAcentral lists this ribosomal RNA (441 nucleotides) under uncultured bacterium. Its description in RNAcentral is "partial 16S ribosomal RNA". It matches the Rfam family "Bacterial small subunit ribosomal RNA", at positions 338 to 795 of the family's 1533-position model. The record is from RNAcentral.